RNAcentral lists this ribosomal RNA (253 nucleotides) under uncultured bacterium. RNAcentral's name for it is "partial 16S ribosomal RNA". It matches the Rfam family "Bacterial small subunit ribosomal RNA", at positions 524 to 776 of the family's 1533-position model. The record is from RNAcentral.
UACAGAGGGUGCGAGCGUUGUUCGGAAUUAUUGGGCGUAAAGCGCUUGUAGGCGGCACGUCAAGUCGCGUGUGAAAUCCCCAGGCUUAACCUGGGAAGUGCGCGCGAAACUGACGAGCUUGAGUGCCGGAGAGGGUCGCGGAAUUCCCGGUGUAGAGGUGAAAUUCGUAGAUAUCGGGAGGAACACCAGUGGCGAAGGCGGCGACCUGGACGGACACUGACGCUCAGGCACGAAAGCGUGGGGAGCAAACAGG